GCGAGAGUGCUGGAAUUGGUAGACUGGCAUGCUUGAGGUGCAUGUGUCCUACGGACGUGUGGGUUCGAGUCCCAUCUCUCGCACCA
This 86-nucleotide transfer RNA is filed under the name Oscillospiraceae bacterium. Its description in RNAcentral is "tRNA-Leu". It matches the Rfam family "tRNA". Rfam says of the family: Transfer RNA (tRNA) molecules are approximately 80 nucleotides in length. Their secondary structure includes four short double-helical elements and three loops (D, anti-codon, and T loops). The record is from RNAcentral. Lineage: Bacteria; Bacillati; Bacillota; Clostridia; Eubacteriales; Oscillospiraceae.